UUUAUAGUAUAGCCUUACAAUAGACCACAAAUUUGGGCCCAAACAGGCCCAUAUUGCACAUAAAACCCAACAGUAAUCUCAUAUCUUUAAAAUUCUUAACAUGCGGAGGAGCAUCUGUACUAUCAUCAACAAGUAUAUCUAUAUGGCACUGUUUACGAAUUGAAUCACAAUCCUUAACAGCCAUUCUUCGUAUCCGUAAAGGGGGUUUCUAUCCAGUAACUAAUGGUUUAGUAUAAGUAAUACUUUUAGAUAAUUCUCCAACAGAUAUUAAACUUUUUCUAUCAAAUAAAUGUUCAAUUAUUUCUUUUUCUUCUUGUACUAUUUGUUCAGUUGGUGGUGUUACCUCCGGUAGAUCUUUCUUCAAUUGAGUUGCUUUCACCAAGAGACUUGGUUUUGCUGGUUGGAUAGAACGCUUAUCACCUUCGUCACAACGCUUGCGUUUGUUUCGGUUCUUAUGUUCAAGAAUUUUCUCAGCUUCCAUUGCUCUUCUCUUCUCUAUUGGUAUGUAUUCUACAUAAUCUUUGUCGUCUUCUAUUUCUAUUUCUAUUUCAAUUGCUGAUUGUUUUCGGUUUACUGAUGUAUUCGACACUUCCAUCUUUUUCAGAUCUAUGAAUGCGGGAUUUAAAGCACUUGUGAUGACGGAAAGCAAUAGAGAAAGAGAGAUUGCACGACAAUUUUUUUCGGAUUUAUUCGAUUGAAUUGUUUUGGUUCUGGGACUCUUUAUACAGAGAAUCCACCGCUGGUAUCGCAGGGUUAGUUGGUUACGUUGUUUUUGGUAAAAAGAAUCCGGGUAAAUUUGCAUCGAGUCGGUUCGGGAUAUACAAGCGUUAAUGGGCUAAUUUUGAAUCAACUUUAGGCUUUUAGUUAUUAGCACUUUUUAGUCCCAUCCAAUAGAUGAUUCUCUACCACAAUUCCACUAUUUAGAAUUCAAAAACAUUUAUUAGAAGUAUAGAACUAUAACGAUCACUUUGAAUUGGAGUUUUUUUAAAUAAAAGCUUUCGGAUCAGUCGAUCGGAUAGUUGAUACAGUAUAUCAAAUUUAAUUUUUAACAAUUCUACUUCUAAUAAAUCAAUUACUUCAGAUUUUCCUACUUCUUCGAGUUUAAGGAAGAAAAAAGGGUAAUAGAGAGAGGGAAUUUUAAUCUAACCUCGAUCUAAAAAGUCCACCAAGAUACAAAGUGAAGUGUAAUUUGGUGAAGAGAUAGAGAAUGGAGGAAGGAGUUUUGUAGUUUUGCUUUAUAUGUUGUUGAUAUGAUAAGGAGUGCCAUUUUUUUUAUUGCCACGUGAACAAAGCCACGUUAGUUUGUAAAGAAAGUUUGUGAGAAAUCUCGGUCAACGUAGAAUGAUUCAAUAAAAAAUUAACUAAUCUUUUUUUUUUCCUCAAAUCUUUUUCUUUUUAUUAAAACUUCAUUUUAGAUUUUCUAUGAAAAAGAAAUAUAAAACGGCAUGACCUUAACGAAGAAAACAAUAGUCAAAAACUAAGAUUUGAAUAUAUUUUUAUGAUUCCAAUUAUAGAUGAAAGUAAACUUCUUGUUUAGAAAUAUUUUUGUUAUUUAAAUUUACAAGUGCCUUAGCCGAUGCGUAACACCGGUUAAUUUUAAUUUAUCUGUGUUUGAUUACCAUUCAAGUUUUAAGUUAUUAAUUUUAUUAAAUAUUAUAAAUUAUAUUAAUUUAUUAAAUCUUAUGAAAUAAUUAUUUCUUAAGAUUCUCAUUAUAUUUUGUUAAUUUAAUUUUUUUUUAAUAAAAAUUCAAACCAUAAAUUAAAUAUGUUAAAUUACAAUAAAACCAUUAUUUAAAGUGAUGCAUUCUAGGGUUUAAAACCCCUAUUUUGUGCCAAGAUUGCUACUACAUGUUUUUAGAAUUAUUAGGGAUUUUUAGGAUUAUGUUUAAUUGGUAUUUUUAGGUGUUUUAGGGUAUUUCUAUUUUAGGGUUAUUUUAAUUUCGAAUUAUGUUUUCUAUUUUCAUUAGAAUUGUUCUAGGUUUAGGUUUCCUUGUUUUCCAAGGAUUGUUUUCCUAUUUAAAGAGUUGUAGGCCUUUGGCCAAGUUUCUAUUUUCAUUAGAAUUGGUCUAGGUUUAGGUUUCCUUGUUUUCCAAGGAUUGUUUUUCCUAUUUAAAGAGUUGUAGGCCUUUGGCCAAGUUGGUGUUCAUUGGUUAAUUGAAUUGUAUGUUUUGAGAAGAAUCUUCUCUUUGUGUGUGUUCCUGGUUAAGAACAUUGGUUGUCGAAUCCCGAAAAUCGUCGUAGUUCUUUGAAUUCGGUUCAAAGAACAUAUCUUCAUACCACGACUGCAUCAUAAAAGGUAUUAUAUAAAUUUACCAAAAAACCAUGACUAAAAGGGUGACAAAAUUUUAAAGCUCAAUUCUCAUUAAUCGGGACUGUUUAUAAUAGUAGUACAGAUUCCAUAUUUUACUACUAAAAAAAUAAAAUAAAAUGUGGUGUCCUGAAAGUUUUUUUUUUAAUUUUAUUUGUGGUGUACUUACAAAAUCUUAAAGAAUAUUUGUUGUAAGCUAAACAAAUGUGGUGUACGAGAGAUUUGUGUGGUGUGACAAGAUCUCCCUUUUAAAAAUGUCGAUUAUCCCAUUCUGUCUAUGGUUUAACUCUGAGCUUUAGUUCAAUAAUUUGGGUAACUUGAGUUGAGGAUCUUUAAUAUUAUAUUUCACCAACACCUUUUAUUUUGAGAUUCCAUGAGAUAAGAUAAGAAUCCCAUAUGAAAAAGAUAUGCAUUUGUUCAUAGCAUAUAUGCACCAAGUUGCUCAUUGAAUUUUUGGUGGUGGACAAAACACCUCAGCAUUGCAGAGAUACCUCAGUUCUAUUCUAAUCAGAAACCUGUCAAUACUUCAAGGAGUAAAUAACAAUUCAUUGAAACCAAAAUAUAUUGCAUUGUGUAUGUUUGACAAGACGUAUUUCACAUAACAGGGCAUCCCUACUAUUGCCUACUUGAUCUCCUUGCCUACUUGAUCUCCAAAAAUGCGGGAGGUAAUGGGAGAAGAAGACACCGUACAUGAGGGCGACUUUAGUAAAGGAUUAAUCCCACCCAAGUAAAUGCAGUUGCCAUUUUGCAUUAGGCAAUGUACAAAUGCAGCUAAUUGAACACAAAAUACAAAUAUUUUAUGUGGUAGUUACAACUUACAAGUGAGUGCUGCAUAAACUCAAAACCUAAUGGUUGAUCAAAACACCAUCUCUUUGUUUCUGUACAAUGAUGGAUUGGACACCUGAGGUGUAUAUAAUUACGCGUGGCUACGAUUACAAAGGUUGUAACCUGAUAUUAGGGAGCUGAAGGCAAAUGCGACGAAGGCCAGGAAAGACAUUCCUAUAGAGGCACUAGCCAUCACAGUGAAGUCAUCUUUCCCCCAAUUACUCUGCCAGUCAUCCACUCGACUUGCUGCAGCUGAUGACGCUGAUAUCAGAAGGUAUGUCAAAAUCUGCAAAAUGAACACAAGCCCAAUAACGCAUACAAUCUUCAAUUUAUACUUGCCAAAACGUUAUCACAUAUAACAUAUUUGGUAGAAGCACCAAGCAAAAGCUGCAAUGCAAAGGAAACUACAAGCUAUGCAUCACAUCAUUAGACAUAGACUGCCUACCAAAGAAAAAAAAAAUAGACACAGACUGUCAGGCUCUGCUCCUUGUGUAGUUGUGGUAAUACAGGAAAUUAAUUUUAUCGGAUUUCAGUGAUUGUUAACAAAUCAAAUAAGAAUGCAAUUUGAUAGAUUACAAUGACAUAUCUAGCUUCAAUUUAUUUAAAAAAAAAAGAGUUAAAAGAGCACGAAAACAAACAUUAACUGCCAACAUGAAGUGUGCUGGAACUGAAAGAGAAUAAACAUCAACUGCCAAAGCCAACCUAUUUGUUUUGGUAUAUAUGUCCGUCAAGGCGUCAAGCUAUAAAUAACAUGUCCCUGUGCUCAUUUGGCUAAAGAGAGGGUCACAUACAUAAUUAACCAAGUUCAGGUAUAAGAACUCCAUUUCUUGUAAACAUUAAACCCUACUCAUUGAUUAUACCAAACUGAAGACAAACAAGAGUAUAAGAGGCAGAACAAUGUCUUAUUCAUACAUUUCCCUUAUUGGAUAAAGUUCAUUAACGGAGUAUUGAUAACAAAGUUUUGACUGGACGCUUGAAUAUGUGAUCAUCUGAUAAAAAGGAAAACAUAUUAAGCCAAUUCAAGAAAUCGGUAUGUUCUAAAUUAAAAACAUAUUAGAAUGAGUGGUUUGCAAUAUUCAACAUUUAGUAAGAACACACAACUGCAACCAACAGUUUUUCUUUUAUUUUGAUUGUUAUUCCAUGUUUUGUUGAUAACUCAUCUCCAAAUGUUGUUGUUGCAAUUUUGCCCAAGAUGCACAUAUAAAUCAUUCGUGUGUGACAGUAAAAUCCAACAUUCAUGAACAAAUAACUACAGAGUACGCCAAAUAAUACCUGAUCAAUAGAGAAAUCAAAGUAAUAGCGCACACCAUUUCCUAAAACAUGCUUCCCGGAAAUCAAACUAUAUGACAAAUCAUACGCUUGAAAUCCUGCAUAAACAAAUCCAAUAACACUCACCGAUAAGCAAUACCUGUAAAACAGUACACAUUAACCAAAUCAAAUUAGCUCAAUUGCAAACCAAAAUCACUCCAAUCAAUUUUCCGGAAAAAAAAACCCACUAAAUUUACCUGUACUCUUUGUAUCGAUUAAAGGAAUCACCAGCCCAACCUUGUGUUUUAUCAGCAGCCAUAACUGAGAAAGAAAUCAAACAAAACACAAAAGCACAAACCCUAAACCCUAACGCAGCUCUCUUCAACAUAGCUUCUCUUCUCUCUCUCCAUAAAAUUGACGAAACAGUUCUCGAUUUCUGAUUACCAUCACCACUACCAACAACUCCAUCUUCCACAUCAGCACUUCUCCGACUACCAAUACCGGAAUAACCGUUUCCACCAUGAUCAACUUUAGGUGGUUGUGCUGCUGCUGCUACAGAUAAUUCUUCACGAAUUGACCGGUUAACUACAACUACCGGUGAUAAAACUGGCGAUAAAGGAUGAACAGAUUCAGGUAUGGAUAUGGGUUGUUGAUGUUGUUGUUGUUGUUUAAUGGGUUUAUGUUGUGGAGAUCGAAGUGGUGAAAAACCAUGAAUUCUUCGAUCUGCUGCAAUAAUUUGAGAUAAAUUUUCAUGUGGUGUUUGGGUUUGGGUUUGGGGAGGUUUAAGUGGUAGUAAUGGUAGUUUACGUGAAAUAGAAGGUGGAGUAGGAGAUCGAAGUGGUGAAGAUUCUGACUCAUCCAUCUCAGGUUUUACUUCUUCUUCUUCCUUAAUAGAAACCAUUAUUAUUAUUAUUAAGAACAAGAAAGAAGAAUAUGUAGAACUUGAAUUGAUUGAAAAAAAAAGAAAAAGAAAAAGAAUAGUUGUGUUGUGUUUGUGUUGGAAAAGAGGAAAGAGAGUGGGGUAGUGAGUUUGAGUUGAGUUCUAGAGAGUGGAGUUUAUGGACCACAACAACACUUAAAACAUUGAAGUUGGUGAAAUAGAUUCUGUCUGUAAUUUACUUGGGAACAACUUGUUUAAGUGAAAUUUUCCAAUCUUAAUAAUUUAAUGCAAGAUAGAGUUUUGUUUUUAUACUUCGUAUAGUAAUGUAAUAUACCAAUACCAUUUAUUUUAACUGAGGAUGUUCAGGCUUCCAUAGUUGUAGAAGAUGAAAUGAAGGUCAUGUAGUGCCGACAUGCUUUAAAUUCUAUGGAUGAAAUGAAAUAUAUUUCUUUCACAUCAAGCUAAGGUAGUACUAGUACCAUCACUUCACAUAGGACCAAGUGGGUGUAAUUCGAGCCAAACCACUAAACCAGCCAGGCUUUCGUAUGAUCCAAACUGAAGCAUUCUAUUCUAGUUAUACAGUACUUUUUUUCCGAUGGUCUGUUUGAUUCAAUUGCGGUAAAAUUAAUUUGCCGAUGAAAAUAGAGGAUAUCAGAUGAAAUUAAAAUUUUAUAGUCAGAGAAGAAGACACAAAGUGAGAGGGAGCGGUAAAAUCAAUUUGCCAGUGAAACAGAGGGUACAAGAUGGAAUUAAAAUUUUAUAGUCAGAAAAGAAAACACACGGAAUGAGAGGGAGUUUUGACGGAGUACUCAGAUCUGUUCUUAUUUUAUUGUGCAUUUACUAAAUCUUCUGUUUAAAAAUUUUACUGGGAAAAAAUCCUGCACGAAUCACAGACCUAAACGAGAUAAAGCAUAUACAGUAGUAUACAAAUCAACAAAUUACUACUAAGAAAUUUCCUGAUGAUUUUAUAAAGUUUAUAUUAGUAAGAGAAGUAUUGAAACUUGAUUGGUUACAAGAAUCUCAACGUAAAGCUAAAAGAUUCACCUUUGUAUGAUAGAUUUGUAUACUUUACUUCAAAAAUACACUUGAAAUUUAUAAAUAUGAUAGUCGGAAAGGAGAUAGCAAUGAUGAGGACGUCAUUGUGUUUUGUUUAUUAAACAAAUCCAACCACCUAAUUAUUUUACAAAAUCACUCCCAACUUUAUAAACUCAUUGAAUGAUUGAAACUAUAAUAUGAUUUCUUUGAAUCCUCAUGAAACCAGAGUGAAACAACAGAGAAGGGGAAGCAAAGUGGCUUUCGAUCUUUUUUCUUUUUCUUUUUCGGUAAAGUAACCAAACUAUUUCAUAAAAAAUACAAAGAUGUUACACUUGUUUGCCUCUGAUUCAUUCUUGUCCUUGUCAUUUGAUCGCAAAAUAUACAAGAGAAAGUACCUAACCUAAUUAUUCGCGUAUUCUUAACAGCCAAGAAAAGGUCCUGAUCAAUGACGUUAAACAAGAGUAGAGGUACAGAAACUAUUGUUAAACUAUAACAGAAAGCAAAACAUUAUUGUAAACCAACAGAUUAACAUUAUUCAUGACUAUUGACUAACUAUGGUACAUAUAAUUUCAAAACAUAUAUAGCAGUCCUUCGACUUAGUGGUCAGUAACUGCUUACCUACGUGAUUAGUACAUCUGAAGGCAACUUCUGAAAGUGUAUAUCAUCUGAACAUAAAUAUGAUACUUACAUAGUGGGUAAGCGGCCUCUGAUUCUCAAAAACCCACCAGUAAGUGAAAACUUCUCCCUCUGUGUACAAAUUGCCUCAUAAUAAAAUGAACAUGUGUGCCGCCACAUGGGGAAGCCCACAGCCCAAGUAGGGAAACAAAGGUAAUCAACACUUCAUUCGGGAAGGUUUAAACGGUUCAACAACACAAGGAAGCUCUUCUCGGGAACAGCGUAAAGGAACCCUAGGUCCGCACCUCCAAUAUACGGCCACAUGCCCUGGUAAAACAAACAGAAUUAAAAUGACAAAUACUGGCAAUCUAUUAGAUAACGGAUAGUUCAAACUUCAAAGUGGAAGCUAUGAUGGAAUUUCAAAGGUAUCGAUGAUUAAUGUAGGAACACUGUUCACACUCGCAUACAAUGGCAUAGUCCCUAAAAGAAAUGUAUCUGGAGCCUAGGUGGAAAUUCUAGUGGGUAUUAACUGCUCACAAGUCAUGCAAGUAAGCUCCUUUUGGGAUACAAAAUGUGGAAUUUAGUUUCCUGGAUUUAUAUUAAAAUUGUCGCAACAGUAAAGAUGUUAUUCACAAUAUAGUGAAUGCUUGCUCACAGCAACAUGCAGCAUAAAAUGUUUUGUCACUCAUGCAAAUGUUAUUCACAAUAUAGUGUAUAAGAACGCAUCAUACAUCGCAACCAUCAGUCAGAUUAUGAAAACGUAAUCGAUGAGCUGCCUCAUAGACAGAGAACCCUAAACAUAUGAGAUAUCCCAUUUUUGAGAUAGACAAUGACAACAUAGUAUUCUAUAAACAACAUCACAUAUAAGAAUUGCAAGGUCAUUAGCGUGGUGACAUGUAGGCUGUGUUUCGUUCGAAGAAUAGUUACGCUCAACUAAAAUAUGCUUAAACCAUGUUAUAUGAACUGUUGUUUACUUUUUAAGAACCAUCAUUUCAUCCUGUUAGUGCGCAUUACACAUCAGAUCAUUAUUGUAGUCAUAAUCUAUCCAAAAAAAAAAAAAAUCCACUUGGUGAAGGCUAUAGAAUUUGCUGAAAUUUUGAACCAUGAUGCUCUUAUUCGGUCGAGAGGUGUGUGCGUUACAAGACAAUGUCACACUCAUAAAAAACACUCUGUCCCAGUUUUUAUAGCAAGCUACAUUAGAAACCCAAGAGUCUGAUGUUUUUUAUAAUUAUUCGAAGAACAACUUGUUUUCCAAAUUGUGUGGGUUCAGGGAAUAUAAAGUCUCCAGUCUCCACAGACCACAGCAGAGUACAAAAUACCACUAGUUAUUGCAACUUUGAAGGAAAAUGUCAAAUAUCCUUGAGCAUCAAGAAAAUGGGGAGAUUCCAAAAAACUCCAGGAAAUAUCAUUAUUAACGUCAAAAUGGGGUAACAUAUAAUUUCAAUAUAUAGAUAAAAUUCAGAAGCAUGGUCAUGAUGUAAUAUUGUCACAAACUCACAAUGUCAACAUUUUGGUAUAUAUUUACCAUAUGAAAACACUUGUACCCUUCAAAUCCCAAAUGCAGGGAGAAUGCUGGCGAGAUUCUAAUAAAUUUUAUUUUUCUAAGGAUCAAAAUUUCAGCUUGUACUAUGCUCCAGCAUAUUACCCUAUGAAACAAUUAAACUUCGAAUCUGACAUGGGCUCGCAUAUAUUUAAAUCAAGUUAUUACCUUGCCACUAAGCUGAAGUAGUUCACCUUCUACCCAUCGUGGAUUUCGGAACCCAACAUCUGCUGUUUUUCCUUGACCUUUAUAACUCGAGACCUGGUCAAAUUACGCUAAGAUUAUUUUCCAUCACUAAAAAUAUAAUCAAACAAAAAUGAAAUCAUAAGUUUAAUAUGGAUAUGCAGAACUAUGGAGGGAAAAAGGCUUUGAGUAAUGAUCAGUCUGUCAAUGGGUUACCCAUUAAAGAAAAUUUAUAUGUUAUCUGAUUGGGCUAUUGAGCUCGGUCAAUGGAAACUUCAAGGAAUUCCAUCCAAAAACGGACUUAUUGAUAGCCACGCAUUGGCUUGUUCAACUCCUAGUGGCUCAAUAAAACAUCAAUUUUGUUUCAUUUCCUUCUUUUAAAACAAAAUAGUGUUUAUAAUUUAAUUAAGUGUAAAAGAUAACUUCUACAGUUGCCAAAAGAUUACAGAACAACGACACAAGAUUACAAUCUUCCAAGUCCCACCCAUAUAUCAGGUCAAGCCACUUGCACUAGAAAUUCAUUAUUGCCCAUCAUAUAUAAGUUUGUGUGGUAACUUUUCUUAGAAUUCGUGUAUUCAAAACUAGGCUUCCAGCUAACUAACACUUUUCAAAAAUUUCAAUACAACAUUCGAAACAUAUUGUUAGCAAAGAUUAUAGACAACAGUGAACAUUUUCUAAGCAAAUAAUGAAACCUACUUUGCUACUCUAGUGCUCAAUUAAUAGAUCAUUGUAUAAAUUCAAGUGAAAAAAAAAGUACCACUCCCAAGUCAUCAGGAUACUUUCCACGAUUUGGGCUCCGAUUGCCUUUCCCAAUUUUAGCACGGAAUGUUACCUACAAAAAGAAAGAGGGGAUCAAGUUGGAAAUGCACACAUGCAUAACCUUAUACCUUAAUGAUAUAGAUGAUAACCUGGCCAGCGGGAACAUUUAGAUCGCCAGUAAGCUUUACUGCCUCAACAUACUCGAAAAACUCAACAUCUGGGGAGUCAGUUUCACUAUGCCAGUAGCCAAACUUACGCCUCAACUGUACCACCUCAGCACCCAUUGGACCAAAGGCCCCAACAUAUAACCCUGCAUUUCAAGCAACAAUUAUAACAAUAUAUGUUUCUUACUCUUUAAAUAGAGAUUUGUUAAAACUUAAAAGUGAAUAACAAAAUUACCAUCAAACGGAUCUAAAUCAUCUUUGGAAGUGGUGAUUCGAGUAAAAGAUGUAAGCUUGGAUAGUCCACUUCUCUUACUAACAGCAAGCUUAAAUAUCUCAUGAAUAUCUUUAGACACCUAAGUGGAAGUUAGAAAUACAUCAGUUAAUAUCCAAGUAAUGUACUUAAGGCACUGAGAUGAAAAAGAGAUGGUGUUAAGUAAUCGAAGUCUAAAUAUUUAGACAAGAAAAUCAAACAUAGUCCUUCACAAAAGACUGCCCAAUUAAGUCAUUCAGAUUAAGAAACAGAAAUCACAUUCUUCCAGUCAUUUCCAUCCAUCUUCAUACAAAUAUCGGGAGGUAACAAAUGUUCCAGACAUGAGACUCUCAAAAUUCAAAUUUAGAAACAAAAUGAACUGAGCACUUCAACUUAAUUUCUGUUAGAUCCACAGAAAAUUGCCACAGUUCACUAUAUAACUGUUUCUUCCUCUUUCUUUCUUUUCUUCUGUUGUUUAUGUAGCGCUGCUUGAUUCUAAUAUAAAACUCAGUAGCUUACCGAUCAAAAGAAAAGAAAAAAUAAAUACAGUACUUCCAUUAGGAGAACACAUCAUUGUCUGCAAUAAUAUUGAUAGUCAAACAACAGACACAAGCAAAAGUAUCAGGAACAGAAGGCAUAGAUUGUCAGCCAUGUAACUCAAAGGAACAACUCAUGUAAUUGUAAAUCUCACCUUUGAAGGAUUCUUAUCUACACCCAAGAAGGCCUUCGCAACCUCGACAGGCAUGAGUUCAGAUACAACUUGAGCUGCAACAGCAUCCUCUUCGUCCUUGGAUACUUGAGUAUCUCCAAAAUCAAUAUCUUUAUUUCUUCCACGAAGAUGUAGGGUGAAAGAAUCCCUUUCCAUGUCCUUUAUUUCAGCUGGGGAACGGACAUAAUCAUCUUUUGAAAAGGCAUCUUCCUUAUUAUGUAAUAUCCCACCAAUAAAAAGUUUUGUAGCAAUAUGCUUUCCCUCCUCAAUCUCUUCAGUUCCUCCUGCUAUUUGAGCCUCAUCCCCCUGAAUAUCAUUCUGACUGUGAUCACCAUCUUCUGAAUUCCGGGGAACACUUGUUGUCUCUUCAUCAUCCUGCACUAAUUGCUCCAUGGAUUCACUACUAUCACCUAUUAUCUCCUUUAGAAUAUUAGCUUUCACUUUAAAUUUCGCACCAGGAAUUUUUUCUUUGAGAUAAUUUAAGACAUUUUUUAAGCCUUCUUCACUUGAAUCUGCAAUAUUAUUGGCAUCCGUAGUAUUUAAAUUUGUCUCUCCACUUCCCUCAGGGAUACUUUCUUCACCAUCUGAAAUGGAACGUAUAGAAGCAUUUUCCGAGCUGGGAAUCACCGGGUUGUCAGUUGGUUUUGAUGGUGAUGGUGACAAUGCGAAAUCUGUUGCACUUUUUUUAGCUUGUUGCAAGAAUACAGCCUGUCCAAAGAUUACGGAUGUCAGAAGCAACUCACAGGAUUUGCUUGAUGAAAUAUUAAUUACUUAUAACUUUAUAAGUAGACAUGCCACAAACUCUCACCAGUUACCUCAGGUACAGACAGUAACAACUACUACUAAAAACUUAUGAGCAUUUUAGAAACAAACUAUAACGGGAGGACUGUCCAUUUUCUUAUUACAUAACCAGUUCUUUGGUAGCAACAAAUCUGAGGUAUUGAAGUGAUGCCAAUUGCCAAUAUACAUAUAUUUGUAAUACGUAUAAGUUAGUUGUACCUAAACCCAAGGUAAAGGUAAUAUCUCAUUAGGAGACAAUAAUUGGUCUGCGGGAUUAGAGUAGAGAGGAACAAGAGGUAAAUAAAGGUUUCAUGCACCUAUAAUCUCUGGCCUACUGGGGUAACAGUUUUUUUAUUUUUUUUUUAUUGGCAAGCCUGUUUUGAGCGAGAUCAGUAACUCAAAGAUGCACUGCCUGGGAUCGAACGACAGACCUCUGGUAUCAUCACCCAGAGGUAUUACCAACUGAGCUCAGCUGGCAUCUGCAAAAUAUUGUGGUAAGCCUGUUAUUAAUGAGAUCAGUAACUCGGCAAUGCUGACGGAAUUAAACCCCCAGACCUCUGGUAUCAUCACCCAAAGGUUUUAUUCCUGUUCUUGUGUCAGUAGGUGUGUUCAAAUGAGAUUUUUGUUUGUGGUGAAAUAAAUGUCAAUUUUGUUUUCUUCUCAAUAUCUUUUGAAAAUCUCAACUUUUCACCACACUUCCUAAAGCAAUGAUACCUCAACUAAACAAAUAGACCACAAGAAGCUAUGCAUUUUGUUGGCACGCAGAAAAAUCAAGAUAUCCCAAGUAGAAGAAACCAAAAUUAAUAUUGUAAAUUUCUUCCCUUGGUAGCUUAGGACUCCCAGAUAUAGAAACAAACAGAAGGUCUCAAUCACACAUAUGGACACUGAUAAUACUCACUAAACAACAUCCUUACCUGCAUACUGUAUGUCUGGUCGUCUUCUUUAUAAACAUAUAUCUCAAACAAGGGGGUCCCAGAAGAUGCAGUAACCAAUUGUCUGUAGAAAACAAACAUCAAUGUGUCUACAAGUUAUAGUGUUUCAUUUUAUGUCAGAAUCAGAACCAGAAAAAGCUUUGUACCUUGGAGUGUAACUCCUGGCCGUAAAUCGCCCUACACCAGGGGUUAUCUGUAUUACCCUUCCAAAGGGAUCAUUAGAAUCCUUGGAACAGCCUACCCACCAGCCCAGCUGCAAAUAACGGUUAUUUACUUAUUUAUAUUGGUAAGCUUACAUAAGAAACGUAAUCCAUGCUGCUGACCUAAGAGAUUCCAUGUUGCAAUGUAAUCCAAAUACCAUCCUCGAGUAAACACCCAAUAGAUAGCAUUAGAGACGUCACUUAAAUAUAUGGUUUGGUGGAGAAUAUCAAGUUUGUUUUAAGUAAAAUAUAUAAAAUUCAGAAAUAAGUUACAUAAACAGAAGCCAUCUCUACAAAAUUGAUCAUCUACGUACCAACUGUUAAGAAUUAAAAGACAAUUUGGUCUAAAACACAAGCUUGCAAAGAUGUGCACGAACAAUAUGUCUCAAAGGGAUCAUGGGUCGCUAUAAUGCUUUGGCCAUAACUCAUCUAGCGUCAUUUACGUUGAAGCAUAUCAUAGGUAAUUUUAAAUAAAUAACUUACCAAUCCGCUGCCUGUAAGCUUACACAACCUUGAGGCAUCAUGGUAACGCUCUUCAUCAAUUGCAUUCUGCCAAUGAAAAGAUAUGAAGCAUCCAAAUCCGUGGGUCAUGCAUAUACUCAUACAAUUAUUAUUAUUUCUUCUCCACUCAACAGAAAAUCUACCUUUAAUUGACACAUAAUGUCAGCUACAGCAUCGUUAGAUGUUGCUUCUGCGAUAGCUUUUUUAAGUCUUGCAGCUUCAUGGAAGUCCUCCUUUUCAACUGCAUCUUCUAAUUGAAACUGUAUGAGAUAAAAACAAAGUUAAAGGACAACGAAAAACAGCCUAGGAUGGACAAACAGAUAAAAGCUUUUCAGUGCAGUAAAACAUUUCAAGCCAUGGAAUUUGAAGUUCCAUCACCAUACUUCUCCAUAUCUGCAAUUUAACAGCCUGGGGACCAGAUGAAGGUUAUUUUUGGAGAUCCAUUAUCCUGUCCUUGGAACUCGCGUUAAUAAAAGUCAUGUGAUUGGCUUAUGUUUUCUUUUUCACAUAAGAGAUGAUCGAUAAUUUAGAUAUGUAAGACCAAACAUUUGAUCAUGAAAUGAACACACUUUUUAGUGUUUAGAAGUUCCUAAAGUGCUGGUACAUAGUCUCUACUAAGGAAAGGGUGCCAUCUUUAAUACCUAUAUAGGUCAAAAGGUGUAUACGUACCUCUAUACACUACAGUUAUCGAUUCGUCAUUUGAUUACUGCUAAAUUGAUAGAAAUUUUCCUCUUAAGAGUAAAACCCUACCAAUUUACCAAAAGUUUAAGUGAUAUCUACAGGGAUAUUUAAAAACCCUUGUCUCACUUUUUUUUUUUAGAUACAUUCAAGUUUUAUAAAUUUACAGGGAUAUCAAGUGGAGCCAUAGUGGACUAUGUGAUGCCUACAUGGCUAAUGUAACUGUGAAACUCGUUCCGAUUAAAGUUGGGGUAGAGUCAAAUCUUUAUGACAGUGUGAUACUCUUUUCCUUGUCUAUAAAUAAUGGCGGAGUCAUCACUCAUGAUUAUAUAUAUUGGCAAGCGGGGUUGAGGGGACCCCUACCCCUUUAAUUUAUGUCUGGAAACUUAUAUCAACAAUCAAACCCACAACCUCUCCACUUUGUGAGAGGGGUGCUACCAUUGAGCCAGAGGCUCAUUCGCCAUGAUUAUAUGUUUCAAGUUAUAUAUCAUGAAUUGGCAUAUAUACAGUACAUACUUUGCAAUUUCAUUCAUCAAGUAAUUGGGGUGCAAAUAGUAAAAUAUACAGGAAGUCAAACAAGUAAAACAACUUCAAGAAGAAGAUAAGUUCUGAAAGUGGGUACCUUAAGAACUGAAGCAAAACUCUCAGCUUGUUCAACAUCAGAGAAAUGUUUAGUCCAACGAUUCCAAUCCCAAUCAGAAGAAGAAUUGUUAAUAAUACUGCAACGACAAAGAAGAUUGAAAUUUCUUGAAUUGGGUUUUUUAGCAAUUGAACUAAUGAAGCUUAGAUUACUCUGUUUCUUUCCAAAAUGUUCAAAACAAGUUUGUUUUAAGUGAUGGGUUGAAGAAGGGUUUAUGUUUGGCACACUCCAUGCAUUUGCUAUCGCCAUAGCUUUUUCUCUUCCAGUUUAUUAUUAGGCGCGUGGUGGUGGCGGUGGUUUUGGACAAAUGUUUUUAUGGAUAGAGAGAUUGAAAAUUGAAAACAGACCAAAGAUUUUAUGCAGAAGAUAUAGAAAUGUUUGUUAGCUAACUCCUAUUUUAAAAGCGUUGCACCUGUACAACUCUCACUGCCUUACAAAACUUUUGGGCAUUGGUACCAAUCAAGGUGGUUUAGCAAGCCAAACCUUCUGUUUAAUUUACUUUUAAGCUUUAUUUCUUUGUUACCUAGUACAAAACAUGAAAAAUAACUACUGGUCAAGAAAAAAACUGACAUUUAGUUCUCUCUUCAGCAAUUUCAUUUUUUUCAAAACUAUAACCAGUACACUGCCAAUAUUCGGCUACAUCCACUAAUUGUUGCAAAAAGGCUAAAUUACAGAUACAUGAGUAUUAGUCAGGGAGUUUCCACAGUUUUCGACUGAAACAUCAUCAGAGGGACUGUUGGAUGUAGUAGCUUGUUGGGGUACUAAAGAUGUAUCCAAGCUGUGAAAACAAUAUCGUGUUCCAGGGACAAAAAGUAUAUCUUUAUCUUGUAUCGGAUGUCAGUACAAGUUCUUCACAACUGCAUGAGAUAAACAAAACAAACUCUCUUCAGGAGGCAGUGCAAAAAGCCAAAAAGUGGUGUAGGGUAUAGUUAACGUUGAAUGGUUGGUGAGACCAUUGUGUUUGGCAGACCGUGAGUUCCAUUUUCGACAGCCUCCAAGGCAACAUCAACGUCAUUUUCUGUUACGGUAUUUUCUGUUCUUAUAGGCCGAAGCAGACCCUGCAGUCUCAACAGAUAUCUCUGACCAGUGGGUUCACCUUGCACAUACUGUGAAGAUGUCAUGACAGUUGCAGAUGAUCGUCCAGAAUCAGCUCGAACAUUGGAGAGGGCACUAAGAUCAAGGUUUGGGAAAACAGAGCAGCGGCAGCGGGGGCACUUCACAUUUAGUCGAAGCCACUGAUCAAUGCACUCAACAUGGAAGUUGUGUGCACAAGGAAGACCACGAACCUGCGGCAUGUCUAGUAUGAGAUUGGAUAUCAAGUCAAAUAAUAGCAGGGUCAAGCAAGUUUCAUAAUUCAUAUUUCAUACAGCACAAUACCCAUCCCUAUAUAAGCUUUAAAUGUGUUUGGGCACAGAAUCUUCUCAAUGAUUAUUGUGAUAUGAAAAAACAAAUUACAAGAUAAACCCAGAGAACUAUAUUUUUGAAACAUACCAACUAAUUUUUUUAUCACAUUUUCAAUUGUAUGAAAUCAUUUAACCAAUUGUCUCUGAGAUAAUAGAAGAAACACAAGCAAAAUCAGGCCUUGGCAUAGAUCAUCCAAAAUACUAAUUCCCAGCUUUCGUAAAGGUAACUGGUACCAAGACGAUGUGCAUGUGUGACUAGCCAACAAAUUUUUUAGGCUAGUACAUGGUUAUCUUUCAGACCCACAAGAUACCAUAAUUGCAUUUAUCUAGACUGAUUAAGAUUCGUAGGUGUCACGAUUAAUGAAACUUGAAAACUUACAUUUCCAACAUCUGUGUUAGAAAAACUGUCUUCAGGCAGACUUCCACAGGAAAAAAUCAAAGACCUUUUUGAAAAGCAUAGGGGAAAUUCUAUAUUAUUCUCCUCAUUUGUGAUUGAGAAAGUGUUAUCUACCUUAACGUAAAGUGGCCAUUUUCAUCCAAAUGGAAAAAUAAUAAUAAUAAGAUACAGUUUUCAUGUCAACUCGGUAUAUACAAUUUUUAACUUAACAGGAUUCUUCGGAACAGAGAGCGCCACUUAGAUGCUGUCGAUAAAAAACUGACAUACUGAUGCGCAGGGUAACCAACUAACCACACAAAAUUAAUGGAAGCUAGUAGUCUAGUAUACACCAACUUAGAAACAAAAUUGUGUCUCAGAAGGUGUAUCCACCUUCUAAUCACGCAUUAUGUUCCUCUUAACAUUUUCGUCUACCUCUCAAAAAAAAUUCCCAUGGAACUGAAAUGUGAGUUUACAUUUUUAGAUGGUCAAGAGCAAAGAAAAUUACCUCAUUCCCCACGACGAAUUCUUCCAAACAGAUUGGACAUUCGCUGCAAUCAGUUGGAACAGCCUUUAGUCUGAACUUGGGGAGUUCCUGAAUGAGUGCCUCUACAGCUUCUCUCUGAUAGAAAAUUACCACAAUAGGGAAAAUUAGUCAUAUAUGACAGCAAGAAGAAAGCCAUCAUAAACAAAGUACAUAAUACAAAGUGCAGAGUGGUUUGUGUAUAUCCCGAAAAAGUGCUAUUAGUAUUAUGGUGAUCCUUCUUCAUUAAGUGAAUAGAGUUAAACUAGACAACAACAGCCCAAGAUACAACAACUAAAAACAAACUUUUAUCUGAAUAGGAUAAUUAUGUGAGAUAUUCUGCCCUAAAAACAUACGAGAAUAUUAUUGUUAAAACCAAUGAAUUCAAUGCCUUCCAAGACCAAUGACCAUUACUGUUCAAAAUUGUACCAAUACCAAAUAAAUGUCAUGAUACUGACUAGAAAGCUACUCUUGGAACCUAAAACAAUGUGACAUACUAGUGUCAGCACUCAUCCAAUAUUACCUGAGCUGUGGUUAAGUACAACCCUGGAUGGUAUACUGCAGCAUCUUGUCCCAUUCCUCUCAUCUCUUGACCUGCAGCUUCAAACGCCCAAUCGGGGACUCGGACCAUAUCAACCAACACCUGCAAUGAGAUAUUCAUAUAUUAUACCAAAGAUGUGAUUUUAUAUAUGUUAAAUCGGCAUUCUAUUGAUGACCCCUUCUAUAUGUAAAAUAAAACGAAAUGGGUUAUGACCCCUUGUAAACUAUGGUAUUUUAGAUAAUUAAUUUCACAAUGUUUAUCAGUAAAAAGAUUCAAAUGGAGGAGCUACAGUAAUAUAAACUUCCUAGAAGGCUGCAAGCACUUGAAAUUAAAUCAUGAUCAUAAAGCUUACCCCAUAUUCUGAAACUGGAAUCCCUUGCUGAGCGCGUUGUAGGUGUACUUCUCUUCGUGUCAACCACUGCAGAAGCAUAUUAAGAUCUAGUGGAUUAAAAUAUAUCCCAGAGAUUCAACAAUAAUUCUGAUGACUUGGGUAAAAAUGGACAGAGAACAUGAAGCAACAAAAUUGCAACUGAACUAUUACAAGAAAAAUAGUCUAUUUACACACCAAUACUGAUAUUGUGGCUCUCUUAUUCUCAUAAUAAACAACAAAGAGUACUAAUGGAUGGAAUAAACAGACUCACAAGACAAGCAAAAGCUCCUAAAAAGGAGAAAGAAGAUAAAGAACGAAACAGUCCAUGGUGUGAGUAUGAACAUUGCUUCAUUGGUUCCAAAUUCAGAUGACAUAUAGUAAAACUGUUAUAACCACAAAAAUAUAAGUAUAAACAAAUCAAGGUUUUCCUUUUUUUGAUGAUAACAGACAAAUGUAAUUGAUCAUGCCAGCUGGUGAAGGCAAUAACAUCACGAUCCGAUAGAGCACAAUGCAAGCUAUAGAAAUUUUAUAUUCCCACCCAUACAUGAGGUCCCAAAGGCUGAUCACCGUGAUGUCAUUUGACUCCCAAUAUAAUGCAGCUAACUUACUCAAGGCAGAUAUUGUCUUCAAAUAUACAGCAGUUUCCUUCUUUCCAUAUGGACCCACAUAGACCAUAAUGUUUUGAGGAUUUUGACUACCUUAUAAAAAAUGUUUAACCUGCACUGCAUUAUCAGAAAAACAUCUAGUGUGCCUUCAGCAUGCGUUUACACAGAUACACUUAGUUUCCUUUCUCAUACAUAUUUGCAAUUUAUCGAGCUUCACCACUUGAUAUCAAAUUCAUCCAUGCAUAAAAAAUUACAAACAAUGAAAAAUCAACGUCUAUAUGCCAAAGUCCCUUCGACAUAUCUGCGACACUAUGCACCUCUGGCAGACAUCUCCAAGGGUCUUUGACACCCCCUGGCAGAUAAAUUUGGCUAAUUAUCCAUGUUUUCACGAUCCACACCACGCAUGCCAAACAAGUCAAAUCUUUCUUAACAAUGCAAUGCUCCUAUUCGUAUUCAUAACAAUAUAAUAUCAUUCUUUGUUCAAUGCCUUCAUUAUCAUGAGCAUACAGGUAUAUAAAUAAAUACAAAAAGAACUAACCUUUCCUGUACAUAAGCAAGCAAUGCAAACAAGUCCACAAUAGCUGAAAAGCAACCAAAUAAGGAAUCCCCAUUUCUGACCCUCCUCGGGCAGCUACAAGCAUCAAGGUAAUAUGCACACUCAUCAGGAUCCUACUUCCUAGAGGAAUAAUGAAACAUUUUAUGAAAAUAUGAUCACCAAGUGACAAAUAGAUAAUGAAAAGAACUUACACAGCUUCUAGCGCUAGUGAACCAUAUGGUACCAAUUAUUGUCCAGACCCAUAAAAAUGGAUAUAGAAAUAUGGAAAGAACAGAGAGAACCACAAUUCUUCCACAGAAACGAGCAUAUCUUUGUUGCCACCCUAGAUCCCUAGAAUUUAUAAUAAACACACAUCUUAGGAUAAAUUACAGUGAGUAACAGAUAGAGAUACAGAUGUGGUAAAAGUAUCAGGGACGACUAUCAUAGAAAUGACAAAAUCUUUUAAUAAAACAAAAAUCAUGGCAGCAUUACACCAGCUCUAUAGCGAUAUAAAAGUUAAAAUGAAGGUGAUUAAUAAAAUUAUACCCUUAGGCUUCUACAGUUAUACCCUUCAAACUAAGGUACCAGGAACAGGGAGUCUUAGAUUGCACCAGGAAAAUGGUAAAUUCCACUUAAAUAGGUGAGAUUCGUGAGAAUCUUCAUGCUUUAGGAAGCAUAAAUUCCACUUAAACGCUCAAGAACUUUUGUAUGGAUCUUUCAUCUGGGAAGUUAAAUAGGGAGCACAUGGGAGAAUUCAAAAUUCCCCGCGAAAGUUUUAGAAAGUAAUAAUAUUCUCCGACGCAUGUAUCCUAUAUCACGAGGGUACUUUACUGAACAGUGGGAUUUUAGUAUUGAAAAAUUUCCUGGGAAAUGAAGUAUACCCUGAAGCAUUCACUAUAAUUACAUCCGUAUGUGCCGAAUAUGCAAAAUACUAUGAUAUUAGUAGGCAAAACACACGCCAGAAUGUACAGCUUGAGCACAAGUCAUUCUAGUUAAAUAUAUACAGUAUUACACAAUUAUUUCAUUGAAGUCGUAACAUUUUCAAUGAACUAAAGAAGAAAAGGAUAAUUUAGAUAAUCUAGCAUCUCAACAAAAACAACUAAGCUAUGCAACUUCUAAUCUCCCUAUACUGCAGAGCAAAAACAAAGGGUGUUUAAAAUGAAAAUUCUUACAAUCCCAUUCCAGCAGCAAGACCAUUGUCUACAAACAUCAAAAGCCGAAAUACAAAGACAGUUGUAUAGUCAACCUGAAAAAAAAAAAAAAAAAAAAACGACCUAGUAAGUUAAUAGUUGUCUUGAUACUAACUAGUGAAUUCAACUUGGAAUGAUGAGAAAGAUAGAAAGAAAAAUAAAGAACUCAUUACUACUCACCACAAUCCAUAUAUGCAAAGGAUAUGUACAAAGAUGAUAUCUUUUCCAAUUGAUUGCAACAAUGAUUCUAAUAUUCAAUUAGUUAAAGAAUUCAACUAUAUAACAAAUACUUAAAAUUGUUUAAUUUAAUAAAACAAAUUGAAGAACAUUUAUAAAAGGAUACACACUUGUUGCAAGCAUCGAUAAGAAGAAUCCAUCAUACCUAAAGAAAGAAAAAAAAAAGAUUGUGAGUAGAAAUGAAUCUAAAUUUAUUCAAAAAAGAAUCUAAAUAAGUAAUUUAAACUUACCACUUGAAAUCGAUACCUCUUAUAGCCAUUAAAGAAGACCUACAUCUAAAACCCUAACAAGAAAACUACUAGUUCUAAAGAAGAAGAAUUCAAGACUUUAUCGAGAUCAGCUGUACUGUUGUAGAGAUUGAAAAGAGAGAGAGAGAGAGAGAGAGAGAGAGAGAGAGAGAGAGAGAGAGAGUAACGUCGUAAGUGAGUUGAGUCGGAAAAGUGUCGAUGCCGUUAUGAUUUUAUAACGGCGAUCUAGAAAACAACAUCAAGUGUGUGACGGUUAAUUAACGAAGUUUUAUUAUUUCUUUUUCAUUUUUUUUCCUAAUUUAGAUUUGACUUUCUUUGACCCAGGGAAGACCAUUUG
RNAcentral lists this long non-coding RNA (20609 nucleotides) under Aquilegia coerulea. RNAcentral describes it as "long non-coding RNA (ACOE_LNC000164)". The record is from RNAcentral. Lineage: Eukaryota; Viridiplantae; Streptophyta; Magnoliopsida; Ranunculales; Ranunculaceae.